RNAcentral lists this ribosomal RNA (648 nucleotides) under Escherichia coli. RNAcentral describes it as "partial 23S ribosomal RNA". It matches the Rfam family "Bacterial large subunit ribosomal RNA", at positions 1237 to 1869 of the family's 2925-position model. The record is from RNAcentral. Lineage: Bacteria; Pseudomonadati; Pseudomonadota; Gammaproteobacteria; Enterobacterales; Enterobacteriaceae.
CGUUCUGUAAGCCUGUGAAGGUGUGCUGUGAGGCAUGCUGGAGGUAUCAGAAGUGCGAAUGCUGACAUAAGUAACGAUAAAGCGGGUGAAAAGCCCGCUCGCCGGAAGACCAAGGGUUCCUGUCCAACGUUAAUCGGGGCAGGGUGAGUCGACCCCUAAGGCGAGGCCGAAAGGCGUAGUCGAUGGGAAACAGGUUAAUAUUCCUGUACUUGGUGUUACUGCGAAGGGGGGACGGAGAAGGCUAUGUUGGCCGGGCGACGGUUGUCCCGGUUUAAGCGUGUAGGCUGGUUUUCCAGGCAAAUCCGGAAAAUCAAGGCUGAGGCGUGAUGACGAGGCACUACGGUGCUGAAGCAACAAAUGCCCUGCUUCCAGGAAAAGCCUCUAAGCAUCAGGUAACAUCAAAUCGUACCCCAAACCGACACAGGUGGUCAGGUAGAGAAUACCAAGGCGCUUGAGAGAACUCGGGUGAAGGAACUAGGCAAAAUGGUGCCGUAACUUCGGGAGAAGGCACGCUGAUAUGUAGGUGAAGUCCCUCGCGGAUGGAGCUGAAAUCAGUCGAAGAUACCAGCUGGCUGCAACUGUUUAUUAAAAACACAGCACUGUGCAAACACGAAAGUGGACGUAUACGGUGUGACGCCUGCCCGGUGC